RNAcentral lists this non-coding RNA (23 nucleotides) under Cricetulus griseus (Chinese hamster). Lineage: Eukaryota; Metazoa; Chordata; Mammalia; Rodentia; Cricetidae. The record is from RNAcentral.
AGGACAUAAGCAGCUCUAUGACC